This 513-nucleotide ribosomal RNA is filed under the name uncultured bacterium. RNAcentral describes it as "partial 16S ribosomal RNA". It matches the Rfam family "Bacterial small subunit ribosomal RNA", at positions 28 to 523 of the family's 1533-position model. The record is from RNAcentral.
GAUGAACGCUGGCGGCGUGCCUAAUACAUGCAAGUCGAGCGAAUGGAUUAAGAGCUUGCUCUUAUGAAGUUAGCGGCGGACGGGUGAGUAACACGUGGGUAACCUGCCCAUAAGACUGGGAUAACUCCGGGAAACCGGGGCUAAUACCGGAUAACAUUUGGAACCGCAUGGUUCUAAAGUGAAAGAUGGUUUUGCUAUCACUUAUAGAUGGACCCGCGCCGUAUUAGCUAGUUGGUAAGGUAACGGCUUACCAAGGCGACGAUACGUAGCCGACCUGAGAGGGUGAUCGGCCACACUGGAACUGAGACACGGUCCAGACUCCUACGGGAGGCAGCAGUAGGGAAUCUUCCGCAAUGGGCGAAAGCCUGACGGAGCAACGCCGCGUGAGUGAUGAAGGGUUUCGGCUCGUAAAACUCUGUUAUUAGGGAAGAACAAAUGUGUAAGUAACUGUGCACGUCUUGACGGUACCUAAUCAGAAAGCCACGGCUAACUACGUGCCAGCCGCCGCGGUAA